This 253-nucleotide ribosomal RNA is filed under the name uncultured bacterium. RNAcentral describes it as "partial 16S ribosomal RNA". It matches the Rfam family "Bacterial small subunit ribosomal RNA", at positions 524 to 776 of the family's 1533-position model. The record is from RNAcentral.
UACGUAGGGCGCAAGCGUUGUCCGGAAUUAUUGGGCGUAAAGAGCUCGUAGGCGGCUUGUCACGUCGGGUGUGAAAGCCCGGGGCUUAACCCCGGGUCUGCAUUCGAUACGGGCUAGCUAGAGUGUGGUAGGGGAGAUCGGAAUUCCUGGUGUAGCGGUGAAAUGCGCAGAUAUCAGGAGGAACACCAGCGGCGAAGGCGCCGCUCUGGGCCGUAACUGACGCUGAGGAGCGAAAGCAUGGGUAGCAAACAGG